Long non-coding RNA from Drosophila elegans, 1266 nucleotides. RefSeq lists it as uncharacterized. The record is from RefSeq and is a predicted model, not a curated record. The transcript has 2 exons. NCBI's taxonomy places the organism in Eukaryota, Metazoa, Arthropoda, Insecta, Diptera, Drosophilidae.
AAAUACCCACCCUAGUCACUGAGGACUUCAACAGUUGGCACAAAACAAUUCUUCAAACACACCCCAAAAUUUUUUCAGUUUGGUGCCGGUGAAACGGUCACAAGUAAGACCACUCUGCCUAUAUGAAUAGGUGUGUGGCUUAGUAUUUAUUUCAGCUCGUUAUAAACGUUAGCUAUAUAUAAAUAGUAUUUAGAGGCGUUAGCAGAGGCCUUUACAAUAGUAGGCUUUAAGAGUAUUUUAAUAGUAGUAACAUAAAAAUAUCUUAAAAAUAAAUACUGAGUAUGUUAACAGGUUUUUUAAAAUACUUGGAACUGUGACUAAACGCGACAAUUUAUCGCUAUCGAAAUAUUCUUAUAGAAAUAGUAGGCUUUAAGAGCUUUGUUUAACAAUGUUAACAUAGAAAAUAAAUGCUGAAUGUUUUAACAGGUUUUAAAUACAUGGAAUUAUGACUAAACGCGACAAAUUAUUACUAUCGAAAUAUUCUUAUAGGAACUGUUAACUGUGAGGUGUGACCAAAAAUGCCUGAGUAUCGAUGUCAAGAGUCACUGCCGCGAAUAUCGAUAGUGGCCUUAGUGACCCGAUAUCGCGGCAUGACAAUCGAAAAAAGCCAGCAUGGCUGGUUUGUUUACAUUUUUAGAAUUUACAAGUUUGCUAAUAAAAAUUUACUUUUCAGGUUGUUCGCGGCUUUCUGCCAACAGGAUUUGGAGUUGCCGCAUCCACAGGAAGACGUCCAGUGUCGAUGGAGGUGUACCAGCCAGCGGAGUCGGCGGAGGGUGUGUGUUGCAGCACGUGUCAGCCUCAUUCAAAGCCUCUGGAGAGUCCGGAUUAAUGUGGUUGGCAAUUUCAUAUACAGCCAGCUGUAGAUUAGCGACGCCAACUUCAGGAGAGUCCACCGUCGGUUGUUGGCUAAUUUGCCACCGAGUUUGCUGUGAAUACUGGAUGCACACUGACCCCAAGGGAGCAGUGGCAGAAGGAGCUGGUCCAGCUGGAUAUGAUAAGGACUCGUGAGAGCAGGAGGCGCUAAUCAAGGAUGUAGCGGAGACCAGUUCUUUUCAGUUUGGUGCCGGUGAAACGAUCACAAGUAAGACCACUCUGCAUAUAUGAAUAGGUGUGUGGCUUAGUAUUUAUUUCAGCUCGUUAUAAACGUUAGCUAUAUAUAAAUAGUAUUUAGAGGCGUUAGCAGAGGCCUUUACAAUAGUAGGCUUUAAGAGUAUUUUAACAGUAGUAACAUAAAAAUAUCUUAAAAAUAAAUACUGAGUAUGUUAA